ACUGGCUGCUUAUUCACUGAACACAUAAAAAAAAUGUACUUCAGGGGACUACAUCUUCUAGCCUUCCUUGAAAACUUCCUUAUUAAGGCCUUAGCUGCUUCUUAUGCUGCCUUGCCAGCAGAGGUGGGGAUGUGUAAGAGUCUGGGAGGAAACAAGGCCAGGAGAGCUGACCCAAAGUAGCCAAAAAGAUGUCCUAUAUCCUGUGAUGUUGCAUUCAGAGGAAGAAGCUGAUGAAAGGAAGAAAGCAGGAAGAAUGUUCAGGGUGAAUCUGUUCAUCUUCCCAAAUAGCCAUUAUCUGUGAUGGGCCCUGCUUUCCUGGAGAAGACUGUCAAGAGAGAAGAAGUGAAUGAACUCCUUGGUUUGCUUUAGUUGCAGCUGUAGUUCCUGCUUCACAUACUGAAGUAUCUUUAUCUUGCCCACACAUUUUUGCUCUGUUACCUUUCCAAUUUUCUCUCAGCUGUUGUGGGGCUGAGAUGCCUACUGAAGUCAGCUCACAGUAUUAGCAGAGACCACAUUAAAAAGAACUUGUCAUCUUAUGAUCAGGGAAUUUCAUUUCCCUGAUAAUCACCACAGCCAAAUCACAGGUUAGAAGACAAAG
This is a long non-coding RNA of Tympanuchus pallidicinctus (lesser prairie-chicken), 598 nucleotides long. RefSeq lists it as uncharacterized. The record is from RefSeq and is a predicted model, not a curated record. The transcript has 2 exons. Lineage: Eukaryota; Metazoa; Chordata; Aves; Galliformes; Phasianidae.